AAAAGGGCCUGUCAACGCACGCAUUAUUGAACCAAUAAAAGGGUGAAAACAAUUCAUAACCCGAGUUCAAUUCUUAAUUUUUAAACUUUAAACUCCAACACAUGCUUAUCCGUAGUUAAGUUUGUGCAUUUUUGAUAAAACCAAUGGCAUUUGUAAAGACACAACUUUACUCCGAUAGAGUCAGGGAACUUGUCAUUGUUUCAUCACGUAUGUGUCGACAUGUGUUGAAUUUUGAACUUUACCUGAGAUGGAGGAAGGGUUAACCUUGAUUCGUAUAUGGAAUCGUCGCUCGUUGGAUGCUCAUUACUCGUUCGUGUACCCUUUGGGAGAGUUUGUUGUUUUUGACUCGAGGCAAGUUAACAUGUCCCUAUUAUGAUAACUCAUUUAUUAUUUAUGUUCAAAAAUUUCACGUCUCACGCGCUCUCUGCUGAAGAAGCGACUUGUACAUACUCCCAUUUACUUUCUACAUAAAUCACACCGCACGACUCUCGUAUGUAGCUUCAAUCCAACUCCCGAAUAAUGCAGUCAAACCAACGACAUGGCCAACUAUGCGAGGGUUCCAUGCACAUACUUACGAAUACACGCCGUGUAGACACACUUGAAAAAAAAAGAAAUUUGGACCAGAAACCAAAACUGCCUCCAUUAACAUAAUAUUCAAGUAAUUCUCAGAGCUCUUCAGCACACUCGAGAAAGUCGAAAAUUCCAUUAUACGCAUUCUCAGAUAAUAAUAUUAUUAUCUUAGGAAACUGGCCAAGAAGUACAUGUGCAAGGACAAAAAAUUCCACUAGAAGUUCUGCAACGUUAAUGAUACGCUUGAGUGCUCUUGUUACUAAUCAGGUAUUUGAAUGGACUAAAUCCCACAUCUUAGGAGCUCAAUUUUAUUCGUUAAUAAAAUUAAUUUGUGGAUUAUAAAAUAAGGCUUUGUUAUUCAAGCUGAUAAUUAACAAAUUAUUUAUCUGCAUGUGGCAGGCAGUGGUGGCCGAGUGGUCAUCACACUGUGCUUCAAGCCGAAUGGAGGUUCUGGGUUCAAUUCCCAGUACUGGCAGAGAGUUUUUUCCCUUGUGGUUUUCCUCUCUGACUUGUUGCACAGGUCUGUGCGGUGUCCAUUGCACUACGGGCACCAUAGUUAGGAACCUGUGACCAUCUAUUUCUCACUUAUGUGAGGUUUGGUUCACUUGUAAUUCAAAUGUAAUGGCUAAAAUUGGGAAUCAAUAAAGACGACCUUUUUUUUA
Long non-coding RNA from Folsomia candida, 1232 nucleotides. RefSeq lists it as uncharacterized. The transcript is spliced from 2 exons. Lineage: Eukaryota; Metazoa; Arthropoda; Collembola; Entomobryomorpha; Isotomidae. The record is from RefSeq and is a predicted model, not a curated record.